This 301-nucleotide unclassified non-coding RNA is filed under the name Polyporales sp. RNAcentral's name for it is "partial contains 5.8S ribosomal RNA, internal transcribed spacer 2, and large subunit ribosomal RNA". The stretch from base 245 to 301 matches the Rfam family "Eukaryotic large subunit ribosomal RNA", at positions 1 to 57 of the family's 3401-position model. The record is from RNAcentral. Lineage: Eukaryota; Fungi; Basidiomycota; Agaricomycetes; Polyporales.
GUGAGUCAUCGAAUCUUUGAACGCACCUUGCACUGUAUGAGGAAUUGUACAGUAUGCCUGUUUGAGAAGCUGAAAAAAGAAGGUCCAUUCGUGGGAUUUGUCAUUGUUGCAAUGCGACUCUGACUAAAGCGAGUAUGGGGGAGGUCUGGAUAGCUUUUGGGCCUACUGUGUGUCAGGGCGCAAGCCAUGUCUCAGUGAGUUCCAUCGCGUCUCAAUCUUACUCCAAUCACAUCACUCAUCAAUUUGCUCUCAAAUCAGGUAGGACUACCCGCUGAACUUAAGCAUAUCAAUAAGCGGAGGA